RNAcentral lists this ribosomal RNA (303 nucleotides) under uncultured bacterium. RNAcentral's name for it is "partial 16S ribosomal RNA". It matches the Rfam family "Bacterial small subunit ribosomal RNA", at positions 507 to 807 of the family's 1533-position model. The record is from RNAcentral.
AGCAGUCGCCGCGGUAAUACGGAGGGUGCAAGCGUUAAUCGGAAUUACUGGGCGUAAAGCGCACGCAGGCGGUCUGACAAGUCAGAUGUGAAAUCCCCGGGCUUAACCUGGGAACUGCAUUUGAAACUGUCAGGCUGGAGUCUUGUAGAGGGGGGUAGAAUUCCAGGUGUAGAGGUGAAAUGCGUAGAGAUCUGGAGGAAUACCGGUGGCGAAGGCGGCCCCCUGGACAAAGACUGACGCUCAGGUGCGAAAGCGUGGGGAGCAAACAGGAUUAGAUACCCGCGUAGUCCCUGUCUCUUAUAC